GAUUUUGUGAGGCAGAUUCCUCAGAAAUGCUCUGAUUCCUACCCUCGCUCCCCAAGAUGGCUGGGGUGGAAGGAGGUGGCCUUUCAUUUCAAGCCUAGAGAAAAGGGUUCGACCCAAUGGGCUUCACGCAGCCUGAGGGUGGGAGAACAGGAAUGGAAACCAGAAGCUGCUGGCUGAUGAUCGCAGCCAGCAGAAGGAGACAUACCGCGGACCCCAUUCUAUGGGAUUCUGGAGGGAUUUACCCUCUCUGGAGGGCCACAUGAACAAAGCCUGGCCAAACAGAUACUGCUUACUGUCACCUGUGUACUUCUGGCCAAGUUGAUUCAGGAAAGGAAUCCAAAC
This is a long non-coding RNA of Zalophus californianus (California sea lion), 342 nucleotides long. RefSeq lists it as uncharacterized. NCBI's taxonomy places the organism in Eukaryota, Metazoa, Chordata, Mammalia, Carnivora, Otariidae. The record is from RefSeq and is a predicted model, not a curated record. The transcript has 3 exons.